RNAcentral lists this ribosomal RNA (254 nucleotides) under uncultured bacterium. Its description in RNAcentral is "partial 16S ribosomal RNA". It matches the Rfam family "Archaeal small subunit ribosomal RNA", at positions 474 to 727 of the family's 1478-position model. The record is from RNAcentral.
UCCCGGCGCCACAAGUAGGGACCAGGGUUAUUGGGCCUAAAGCGUUCGUAGCAGGUCUUGUAAAUCUCUUGUGAAAUCGUUGGGCUUAACCUAACGGCGUGCAGGAGAAACUGCUAGACUAGAGACCGGGAGGGGUCAGGGGUAUUCCUUGGGGAGCGGUAAAAUGCUAUAAUCCUUGGAAGACCACCUGUGGCGAAGGCGCCUGACCAGAACGGGUCUGACUGUGAGGGACGAAAGCCAGGGGAGCAAUCCGG